This 253-nucleotide ribosomal RNA is filed under the name uncultured bacterium. Its description in RNAcentral is "partial 16S ribosomal RNA". It matches the Rfam family "Bacterial small subunit ribosomal RNA", at positions 524 to 776 of the family's 1533-position model. The record is from RNAcentral.
UACGUAGGGUGCGAGCGUUAAUCGGAAUUACUGGGCGUAAAGGGUGCGCAGGCGGCGUCGCAAGUCAGGCGUGAAAUCCCCGGGCUUAACCUGGGAACUGCACUUGAAACUACGAUGCUGGAGUAUGGCAGAGGGAGGUGGAAUUCCACGUGUAGCGGUGAAAUGCGUAGAGAUGCGGAGGAACACCGAUGGCGAAGGCAGCCCCCUGGGCCAACACUGACGCUCAGGCACGAAAGCGUGGGGAGCAAACAGG